UGUUCACCUGCAACUGCACCUUUUGAGCUUUGGAUGUGCAGAUAGUCUAAUGCAGGAUUACUCAAACAUGUGUGAAAGAACCAAAACACACAACUCCAGGUCUGUUUUUGAGGAGGUAACAACAUUCUAACAUGGCUUUAAUCUCACAGCAGGUCAUUGUAUGUAAUAUAGGACCUUUAAAUCAACUAAACCUAGCUAUCAAAGUCACCAACAGGUCAGUCCGUAUGAAAUCAGCCGUUUUCAAGGAAUCUCCCCUAUGAGCCAUUUCAGAUUUGGCUGAAAUCACCAAAUGAAAGAAUUUCAAAUUUUAGCUCAAUCCCUUGAGACGUUCCUGAAAUUUUCACGCCUUGCUCACUUUUUCUCAAGCCUUAAUUUAUAAGCAUGUUUGAGAGACCAUAACUUCAUAAAACUAGAGCUAGGAAGCAGAAAAUGUGGAUUAUUGUAAAUUCUUGGUCAUAGAUUCUGAAUCUGUUGUCAAAUAUUGGGUAUCUUUUGGGUAUCUAUCUCCAAAUAUCUCACAUUUGGUUGCCGCUCAAUUUUUUAUUUUUUUAUUUUUUUUAUUUUUGAGGUCCAAGAUCUAUUUGCUCUAAGCAGAUAUUUACAAACAAACUGUUGACCCUUAUAAAUUCAGGCUUCAGAAAAAGUGAGCAAGGCCCCAAAAGUUCAACAGGCCAUAACUCAGGAACGACUCAAGGGACUGAGCUAAAAUUUGAGAUUCUUUCAUUUGGUCAUUUUAGAAUUUUUUUGAAAAUUUUUCAGCCAAAUCUGAGAUGGCUCAUAGGGGAGGGCAGCUGAUUUCAUAUGGACUGACCCCAACUUAACUCAAUCCGACUCAACUAAACCAGACUAAACCAGCUUAAACCCGACUAAGGGUUCAGUCACACUUGUCCUGGCUUGGUCCUGGUUUGAGCCCAGUUUAGUCCUGAUGUAAACCUGGUUUAGUCCUCCUCUGGUCCUGGUUUAGUCUUGGCCCAGUUUAAGUGAAGUUUGGAUUGUUUUUUGUCCUGGUUUAAACCCAGUAAGUACAAACACAUCCUAAACCACACUAGAUUAGACUAAACAAUGGUAGAACCAAUUGCACUUUUAAUGUAGUUGCUGCAUUGUAAUUCAUAGAAAAAUCUAUAACUGGAGCGACAGUAGCUCAGCUGAUGGAGCGUUUGUCCACUGAUGGAAUCUCACUCUGGACAUAAACAUCAUUGGUUGAGCGGUCAGAUCAGACUAGCUGUGCAAUUCCAGCUCCCACAGAUGAAUGCUGUCAUUGGGUCUUUGGGCAAGACACUUAACACACCUCGCCUCCAGUGUCUGUGUACACUGGUGUGUGUGUGAAUGUGUGAGUGGGUCCAUGUUGUAAAGCUUUUUGAGUGCCUUGAAGGUGGAAAAGUGCUGUAUAAAAAUGUACCAUUGACCAUUUAGACAUAAAUAUAAAAUGUUCCUCAUUUGACCAAAGAUCUUUUUAACUUACUUGAAUAAAUGUAAUGAUAGUUUAAGGUUCAUUGAAAUCAUAGACUGUUUAUAUAAAUGGACAUAGCUAAUGUGCAAGCCGCCGCGUUCCAAACAGGAAGUUCACACGUGGCUCUUCCGGCUCCUCUGACCCCGGCCCCCACUGACUUACAUUGGAAUAUUGUGGCCCCUCUCUGUAACUGCUGCUGUGAGCCUUGUCAUUUUGGUCUGAAAAUCAGGUUUUCCACAGCCAUGGAAAUCCUGGAAAAGUCAUGGAAAUUUAAAAUGAUAUUUUCGAGGCCUGGAAAAGUCAUGGAAUUUUACUGUCUCUGUCACGCAGCUCCAGCAUUCUGUUAAUAAGUUCUCAUUAGACUAUUCUGAUUAGAACGUCUGUGCCUUUUGUUUAAAAGAGACGACAAUAAAUGCACUGACAGGAUUUUAAAUGUUACAAAACUAUAAUCCCAAACCAUAAGGUGAGUGGAAAGAGUUAACAUUUCAUAUUUAGCCCUAAAAAUAUGCUCAAUUCUACAGAUGUAGGUGCUAGGUAUGAAAACAAAUCCUUGGUCUGAAAAAAAGAACCUAAUAACAUAAAUUAUCAGAAAACCAAAUGAACCUCAUCGGACUACAUGCAGGUGCUGUAAAGUCAUGGAAACUUCACUUUAGGUCCUGAAAGAGUCAUGGAAACGUUUUGAAAUGUUGUCAGUGAAAAAGAGUGGGACCACUGUAAGACGUUCACAUGCGGCUCUUCCGGCUCCUUCUGACUCUGGCUCCAAUUGACUUAAAAUAGCCUCAUCACUUUGGUCUUAAAAUGUUUGUAUUAACCUGCUUCUUUUUUUUUUUUUCCCUCGUUGCUGCUUUGUCAGUUAUAUAGGGCCUGACUCCAAAUUCGCUCCUGUAACCGUUGGUAUCGUGAGCCGAACGCUUUGGGUGACGUCACACUCGCUCAGUCCAUUUUUUACACAGUCUAUGGUUGAAACUCAGAUAAAUGUUAUGGUUUUGACUGUUUUGGGGAAAUAUUUAAGGGACUUUUACUUGUGAAUAGAGAGAUAAUUUAGACUAACUUUUAACUGCCAAACAAAAUGACUAAUUUCUUGAAACACAGUAUGUCACUUUUUUUUUAAUCUUUUGACCUUUUUUUGAAUAUGUUUUUGGCAACAUUUUAACCCACACGCCCUUCCUAGUAUUGCAAUCAGACAAUUAAUUGGACCAGAACUGGGUGGCGUGGUUUAAGCGUUUGGCCAAGUGACAAAGAAAGUGUGCAAUCGAACGGCAUUCAAACGAGUGACCCUCUGGUAGGUGGGCAAAUGCUUAACCCACUGUGCCAGCCAAUAUUUUGUACAUUUCUGAUGCUGCUGAUUAUCUUUACCAAAUAGAACUACCGGUAAUUGCUGUAUUGGGGCCAAAUAAAAACCAAAAACUCCAAAUAUAUUAUAAAACUGACCUAAAAAUGCCUAAAUUACAUUCUGUUGUUUUGUACAAAGUUGUAAUUUUUUUUAAAGCUUGUGUGUUUUGGGUGGAAUAAAAAUGCACGGUACGACACUGGUUUAAAACUGUAGCUAGAGAAAUGAUUAUUUACAGUAAUAUAUUUUAGGACCAAUUUUGGGUUUUAAUUUAUGAGAUUUACAUUUUCUUUGGUGUUUUUAAUUUCAGAAGUUAAAGCGUGAGAUGGUUGCACUCUCAAAGUAUUUUUAAUUUAAAUAAAAAAUUAUUUCAACGUUCAAAGUGUGUGUUUAAAAUGUGUGUGAUGGCCAAAAAGGCACAUAUUACCUUUAAAGAGGGGGUAUUAUAUAAAAUCAACUGUCCACCUUGUUAUAACUUCAUUAAAAACAUGCCUGAAGAGGGGAAAAAGCAAAGGGAGCGGGAAACUGAAACGUAUUAAACAUUAAUACACUGUUUUCGUGAAAUCAGCAUUUUUAAAACGAUAAAAAGGAAACAUGGUGAUUUAAAUAUGACGUGUUUGUAGAAGUAAAAUACCCCUCUUUAACUGUUCUGAGUCUCUAUGGAAUGUUAUGGUACUUCUUUGAACAUGAUUUCUGUAUUUUCCUUGUCUCCUGUUGUCACUGCCUCAUACACAACUGCCCAUUUUUGUUUACGAUUUUGGUUUUGUUCCUUCUUGUCAAGUUGUAUUUUUCCUGAUUGGUUCAGAGCGUUUCCUGCCUCACCUCAAGAGGAAUAAAAACUCUGAUUUCAAUGAA
Boleophthalmus pectinirostris (great blue-spotted mudskipper) is the source of this 3635-nucleotide long non-coding RNA. RefSeq lists it as uncharacterized. The record is from RefSeq and is a predicted model, not a curated record. Lineage: Eukaryota; Metazoa; Chordata; Actinopteri; Gobiiformes; Gobiidae. The transcript has 2 exons.